AUGGAAACUCUCCUGGGAGUGUCUUUGGUGAUUCUAUGGCUUCAACUGGCUAGGGUGAACAGUCAACAGGGAGAAGAGGAUCCUCAGGCCUUGAGCAUCCAGGAGGGUGAAAAUGCCACCAUGAACUGCAGUUACAAAACUAGUAUAAACAAUUUACAGUGGUAUAGACAAAAUUCAGGUAGAGGCCUUGUCCACCUAAUUUUAAUACGUUCAAAUGAAAGAGAGAAACACAGUGGAAGAUUAAGAGUCACGCUUGACACUUCCAAGAAAAGCAGUUCCUUGUUGAUCACGGCUUCCCGGGCAGCAGACACUGCUUCUUACUUCUGUGCUACGGACG
Homo sapiens (human) is the source of this 337-nucleotide non-coding RNA. NCBI's taxonomy places the organism in Eukaryota, Metazoa, Chordata, Mammalia, Primates, Hominidae. The record is from the annotation of a RefSeq genome assembly.